UACAGAGGGUGCGAGCGUUGUCCGGAAUCACUGGGCGUAAAGGGCGCGUAGGUGGUGGCUUAAGCGUGCGGUGAAAGCUCGGGGCUCAACCCCGAGUCGGCCGUGCGAACUGGGCUCACUGGAGCAUAGUAGAGGCAGGUGGAAUUCCGGGUGUAGCGGUGGAAUGCGUAGAGAUCCGGAAGAACACCGGUGGCGAAGGCGGCCCGCUGGGCAGAGACUGACGCUGAGGCGCGACAGCGUGGGGAGCAAACAGG
Molecule: ribosomal RNA, 254 nt
Filed under: uncultured bacterium
Lineage: Bacteria
Description: partial 16S ribosomal RNA
Rfam family: Bacterial small subunit ribosomal RNA
Source: RNAcentral